AUACGGAGGGUGCAAGCGUUAAUCGGAAUUACUGGGCGUAAAGCGCGCGUAGGCGGCUUGUUAAGUCGGAUGUGAAAGCCCCGGGCUCAACCUGGGAACUGCAUUCGAUACUGGCAGGCUAGAGUCUAGUAGAGGCAAGUGGAAUUCCGGGUGUAGCGGUGAAAUGCGUAGAUAUCCGGAGGAACAUCAGUGGCGAAGGCGACUUGCUGGACUAAUACUGACGCUGAGGAGCGAAAGCGUGUGGAGCAAACGGGAUUAGAUACCCCGGUAGUCC
Molecule: ribosomal RNA, 274 nt
Filed under: uncultured bacterium
Lineage: Bacteria
Description: partial 16S ribosomal RNA
Rfam family: Bacterial small subunit ribosomal RNA
Source: RNAcentral